This 445-nucleotide ribosomal RNA is filed under the name uncultured bacterium. RNAcentral describes it as "partial 16S ribosomal RNA". It matches the Rfam family "Bacterial small subunit ribosomal RNA", at positions 354 to 796 of the family's 1533-position model. The record is from RNAcentral.
GUAAGGAAUAUUGGUCAAUGGGCGCAAGCCUGAACCAGCCAUGCCGCGUGCAGGAAGACGGCCCUCCGGGUUGUAAACUGCUUUUGUACGGGAAUAAACCUCUCUACGUGUAGGGAGCUGAAUGUACCGUAAGAAUAAGGAUCGGCUAACUCCGUGCCAGCAGCCGCGGUAAUACGGAGGAUCCAAGCGUUAUCCGGAUUUAUUGGGUUUAAAGGGUGCGUAGGCGGCCUGUUAAGUCAGGGGUGAAAGACGGUGGAUCAACCAUCGCAGUGCCCUUGAUACUGAUGGGCUUGAAUAGACUAGAGGUAGGCGGAAUGUGACAAGUAGCGGUGAAAUGCAUAGAUAUGUCACAGAACACCGAUUGCGAAGGCAGCUUACUAUGGUCUGAUUGACGCUGAGGCACGAAAGCGUGGGGAUCGAACAGGAUUAGAUACCCGUGUAGUCC